This 376-nucleotide ribosomal RNA is filed under the name uncultured bacterium. Its description in RNAcentral is "bacterial SSU rRNA". It matches the Rfam family "Bacterial small subunit ribosomal RNA", at positions 777 to 1150 of the family's 1533-position model. The record is from RNAcentral.
AUUAGAUACCCUGGGUAGUCCACGCCGUAAACGAUGAUUACUAGGUGUCGGUGGGUAUGGACCCACCGGUGCCGCAGCAAACGCAGUAAGUAAUCCACCUGGGGAGUACGUUCGCAAGAAUGAAACUCAAAGGAAUUGACGGGGACCCGCACAAGCGGUGGAGCAUGUGGUUUAAUCCGAAGCAACGCGAAGAACCUUACCAAGUCUUGACAUCCCAUCGAAUAAAGGGUAAUGCCUUUAGUCCUUCGGGACGAUGGAGACAGGUGGUGCAUGGUUGCCGUCAGCUCGUGUCGUGAGAUGUUGGGUUAAGUCCCGCAACGAGCGCAACCCUUAUCCUCAGUAGCCAGCAGGUAAAGCCGGGCACUCUGGGGAGACU